GUCGAGCUAAGUAACGAGAGCUUGUGGCCCGAGUGGGGACAAUAAGAUGAUGGGACACUGGUUCGGGUCCACGGGUCGGGUCUGGCUUUGGCAAGAUUCUGAGCUGCCCAGUCCAAGCUGAGAGUAGUUCGUGUGGCUCGAGCGAAAGCUUGAGUCAGGCGGAUUCUAAAGUCGGAGGGUAAUGCGUGAGGCUGGUUUCACAGAGCAGCGACUACUUCCCGCUCUCAGCAGUGGACGGAUCACGGCUCGGCGCCUCCCAGUUCCACUAUGGCCUGCUGGUUCGUCCUCGGUUGGACCAUCAUUUUU
RNAcentral lists this signal recognition particle RNA (306 nucleotides) under Eutrema salsugineum. RNAcentral describes it as "Plant signal recognition particle RNA". It matches the Rfam family "Plant signal recognition particle RNA". The record is from Rfam by way of RNAcentral. Lineage: Eukaryota; Viridiplantae; Streptophyta; Magnoliopsida; Brassicales; Brassicaceae.